This is a long non-coding RNA of Dromiciops gliroides (monito del monte), 749 nucleotides long. RefSeq lists it as uncharacterized. The transcript is spliced from 3 exons. The record is from RefSeq and is a predicted model, not a curated record. Lineage: Eukaryota; Metazoa; Chordata; Mammalia; Microbiotheria; Microbiotheriidae.
UUCCAUUCUUAUGACCUUCAUGCAGGAGGCAGGCAAGGCCUUCUCGGUGCUUUCCAGAGAAACUUAGAAAAAACAACCGUAUUUCUUCAAAGCCAUACAAAGUCAAUUUCUGGGAGUAAGGAUGGCAAGGGAGGAAAAGGAAACCCAUGUAAAUAACGGGGAACACGUCUGCUGCCUUCUGGUACAGAGGAGAGAACAGAGGGGACCUAGGUUGAGACGCUCUGGCCUGCUGCUUUGCUGCUCCCACAACUUUGAAGGUUCAGCUUCCUCAUUUGUAAAAUGAGGGAGAAGGACUUGGAUGGUCUCCAGAGUCUCCUCCAGUUCAAAAUCCAUGAAAUUACGAAAUCUCGAGGUUUCAGGAGAUUUCCUAGGUUGAUGUUCCUUUCCCAUUAGAAUCAAAGAACAGGAGCCAAGCCAUCAUAAGCAGGCAGCAGUGGCUUGGAGGCCUAACCAUUGGAUUUGGAGAUGAGAGUCCUGGUCUGAAUCCUAGCUCUUAGGCAUCUGGGGUCCAGCGCUCUAUCCUAUGUACCCAUUAGCUGACAUCUUUGAAUAGUGUAAUGAAUCCUGGACAAGGGACCAAAGGCUCAGAUUUUGUCCAGGCUCUGUUACUUACCAGCUGUAUAUUUUGGCUCCAGAACUGGUUGGGACUCCAAUUAUUUCAGUGGCAUAAAUCGGAGCCUGGGAAUCAUGCAACACCUGACAAGUGAUAUUCACAGCUUCUUUCUGCCCAGACAUGUUGACCAUGAGUG